UACGUAGGGUGCGAGCGUUAAUCGGAAUUACUGGGCGUAAAGCGUGCGCAGGCGGUCUGUUAAGACCGAUGUGAAAUCCCCGGGCUUAACCUGGGAACUGCAAUGGAAACUGGCGGGCUUGAGUGUGGCAGAGGGGGGUGGAAUUCCGCGUGUAGCAGUGAAAUGCGUAGAGAUGCGGAGGAACACCGAUGGCGAAGGCAGCCCCCUGGGCCAACACUGACGCUCAGGCACGAAAGCGUGGGGAGCAAACAGG
This 253-nucleotide ribosomal RNA is filed under the name uncultured bacterium. RNAcentral's name for it is "partial 16S ribosomal RNA". It matches the Rfam family "Bacterial small subunit ribosomal RNA", at positions 524 to 776 of the family's 1533-position model. The record is from RNAcentral.